Non-coding RNA from Cricetulus griseus (Chinese hamster), 77 nucleotides. The record is from Rfam. NCBI's taxonomy places the organism in Eukaryota, Metazoa, Chordata, Mammalia, Rodentia, Cricetidae.
GUAGAGAUGGCUCAGAGGUUAAGAGCACUGACUGACUGCUCUUCCAGAGGACCUGGGUUCAAUUCCCAGCACCCACA